Medicago truncatula (barrel medic) is the source of this 2791-nucleotide long non-coding RNA. RefSeq lists it as uncharacterized. The record is from RefSeq and is a predicted model, not a curated record. Lineage: Eukaryota; Viridiplantae; Streptophyta; Magnoliopsida; Fabales; Fabaceae. The transcript is spliced from 2 exons.
AACCCAAUCUUCAACACUUUCGGUGGGUUUAAUUAUCUUUCAUCUUUCUCUUACUUCUUUCUUUCUCGAAGAGGUUUAUCAUAACAUUCGUGAUUAUGAUUUUUUUCAAUCUUCUCACUUCGCGGUCUCUAAUUCGCUUGGUGCAGGUCGGGAACCACUACAUCCGCUGUUUUCGUAGAAACCGGCGGUGAAUUGGAUCCCGCCUUGCAUCAACUGAAUCGGAGGCCGCGGUGAAUCUAUAUGCGGCUGUUGAUUUUUGAUUUUUCGGCUCCUGCAACUCAGAUCUCAUCCACGUGAUUUCUACAAUCAGAAUGGAGGACAUGUUUGGGAGGUUGGUUUUGGCUUUCUAAUUCAAUCCAAAUUAGACUUGAUAAUUACUUCAUAGUAUUUGAGUUGAAGCAAUUGAUAUUGAUUCCUUUUUCUUUAUUGGGAUUGGUUUGAAGUUUGGUGAAUUAAGCAAUGUAAUUUCAAUAUAUAAUGUUUCAUUACAUAAAAGCUUGUUCAAAGCAUGUGUAGUUUUAGCAUUGGAUAUUGGUUUUUUGUUUCAUUACAUGAUUGUGAUAUGUCCUAUCGUUAUAGUAUAAUUUAUUGUACCAGGAGGUUCCAAAAUUUAUCUAAUCAGGAUCCUAUAUCCAGCUUGUUCAAAAUUGUGGUUGAAUAAGGACUUUCAAAAACUCUUUUCUGACACAAAAGUUUAAUUUUUUAUGAUGUUAUUCUCAUUUCAUGGUGAUUUAAUUCGUUUUUUCUUUCUUUAUGGUUUAGUCAUCUGUGAUAAACUUGCUGCAGACUUCGUAUGUAUUAACUGGUGGACUGAUGGUUCUCUGAUUCACAUUGUAGAUCAGAUUAAUCCUAGAACGAUUGAUGUAUUUGUUUUGUAGCACUAGACUUCUAUAUGCAUUUUAUAAGCCACCUCACACCAAUGGGUCCGUUUGGAUUGGCUUAUUUUUGAGUUUAUGAAAAAUAGCUUAUGCAAAUAUAUAAGCUUUUUAUGUUAAUUCAUAAGUUCUCACUAACGAAAAUUGUAUCCUGUUUUUUCAUAAACUAUCUUGACAAGCUUAUAAAUAAUACAUAAAAGCUUAUUUAUUUGCAUAAGCUGUUUUACAUAAGCUCAAUUAUUUGCUUAAGCUGUUUUCCAUAAGCUCAAUAGUAAGCCAAUCCAAACCAGCUUAUAAUUUCAUUUUGAAAACAGAAUGGUGUUAAACUGACCUUACAAUAAGAUGAAUGUGGAAUCAGUACAUCCUUUCAAAUAGAUUUUUCUGCCCUCAAUGUUUGUAUAUAUAUGCAGGGAAAUGCAAUUCCUUCCUUGACAGACUAGUAUAUGACAGUAAGUUAUUUAUAUUUCUUGAAUUUCUUCAAUAAGAUGCUCUAUUAACAUAUAUAUGGACUUGUUUGGAUUGACUUUUCUGAACUUAUAUACUACCAUAAGCACUUGGGAGAUCGUCUGGUAGAACUUAUAAAAACAGUUUAUGGCUUGUUCAGAGGCUGUUUUCAGCCUAUUUUCGUAAGUUCAUCAAGAUAGCUUAUGAAAAAGCAAAUAGUUUUUAUGAAAAUAGUUUAACUUUAUUUUAUAUCUUGUUAUAGAAAUAACUUAUAAGUGUUUUUAAUGAGAAGCGCUUAUUCUAUAAGCUUCAAAUUAAGCAAUUUAUCCAAACAGGCCUAUAUAUAAGCAAAUUGCAUUUAUUUUCCUUUUGGUAGAUUCAUAAUAAAUAGCUUGGCAGCUUGACAGUUUGACUUUAUAUGUACAUUAAAAACAGUUUAUUUGGGAACAUUGGGCAGCUGUGCUCCUCUGUCCGUCUAAAUAUGUGAUGAAUUUUAAGGUUCUGCGAUGCCAGACAAUUGUGUGUGAGAUAAGUCAAGAAAAAGUUGGUCACUAUGUUUGCUCUUGUUUGGUUUAUUCUUCAAUUGACAAAUUAAGUUUUCUUUCUAGAGAACAUUUUUCUUGGCUAUUCUUGAUGUUGUAAUGAGAUUUCUUUUUCACCGUAUAUUGUCCUCUCAUGAUUAUGGCAAAUUUGUGGCAUAAGUCAUUGAGUAUCUGUUUCUGGUUACCUGUAUAGUGAAUUAUUUUGUUUUAAUUAUAAUUAUAUUAUUAUUAUUAUUAUUCUUAUCUUCUAUCUAUAAACUUAUUAAUGUCAAAGUAUCUGCUUUGAAUUUUUGCUAUAUGGAGAAACAUUGGAAUUGGAUUCAGACAUGGAGGUUAAUACUUAAAUGCUAGACAACCUGAUCCAACUUUGCAGUGCAAAGUCACCUUCAGCCUCCAUUUCCCUGCACUGGUUCUGAACUCUCUGUAUUUGUUAUGAUUUAUUACUAAUAGAGUUUGUUAAUUUGCCGUUAACAGUUUUGGGAUCUAAAUGGAGACAGGUUCAGGAUUUAAAUUCCCUCUACUGGACACACGCAUUCUAUUUCUCCAUUACAUCCUAGUGGUUUUGCAAUAAAAAUUAAAUUUGGGUUUAAAUACCGGAUUGCAGUCGAGUAAGUACAAUUCAGAUUGUAUGAGACAUUUGAUAUGUUGAGGCAUGGGAUAGAGUGUGUGAGUUUUGCCGCUGGGCUCUUUUGAAAGGAAAAAAAAGUAGCAGCUGAUUUUAGAUAUUUCCAUGGUCAAUGAAUUAUUUGUGGUGUUAGUCUACAUUAAUAUUGGUCUCUAUUAUUUUAUCACUCAUCAAAUGAAUUGAUGACCAAAGUCCUUUAUUUUGUGAUGAAAUUAUUGACAUCAUCUUGUGGUCGUGGAAUCAUUAUGUGAUGAAAUUUAAUGAAUUGAUAAUACUUCCAAACUUUUAGGCUGGACAUUUUCAUA